UGUAACAAAAUCACUGUUUGACCUUCACUUGUGUGAGCAGUUAUCAUGUUGUUGAACAGUGUGAGAGAAACAAAAGUGUGGCUCCCAGUCAUGGGAUUACCUGUUAGUGGCGUCUGUACACGUUUUUUUUUUUUGGCACAGUGUGUGACAUAGAGUACCGGACAAAAAGGACGUUGAGUUCAUUCUCUGCUGAGGGUCCAGCUGACACAGAGGAUGUUCCUUCUCCAUCAUGUCGGUACAUAGGGCAGAGAAAACAUAAGCUGUUAUCAGUGUCAGCAAACAUUUCACCCUUUAUGUUAAAUGAAAUACACAAAUUCAUUUUUGCUUUGGGUGUCUGCGGCUGCUGGAAAACUGAGCUAAAUUUGCACCUCUAGCUUGUCCAACAGUGCAUAAAGCGUUUUAUGAAUACUAGGAUGGAUUCAUCAGGCUUCUGUUUACACAUAGUUACUGCAUUUAAGUCAAUUUUGUCUCUGGACAUUGUUAGCAGGAAUUUCUUUAGAUUCUUAAAGAAAUCGGCGACUUUUUCAUUAUUUACCCUCCUUUUGUCCAUAGCGGUAACAUUUGAUGCAUCACGUCGCGGCAUUCUAUCAUAUAUUUUCUACAGGACUUUUUAAGCAGACUACUUUUCUUAUCACAAAUGAUAUUCAACAUUUCUACUGACCUGUUUUCUGGCGAUAAUCGUUCGGGAUAAGGCUCCGAAAAGAAAUUAGAAUGCAUUGAACUUCUUAAGUUGUAAACAAAGUCAGUCACAUAAGCACUCCCGCAUGUUCUGGAUACGUGAUCAUGGACGUCUUCACCGAUUCGCGGACGUAGGUUACACGUAACCGGAAAUGGGAGUUGUACUGAGCCGUUAUUUGAGACUUUAUUUUGUAUUUUAUUAAUUUUUGGUUUUACAGGUACUUUAGAUUUUUUAUCGGACCUGUCUGUGGUCUUUGAAUAAUUCUGACCCAUGUUCAGUGAUUUCCAGAGGGGUUUACACGCUAGGAGGAUUUAGGUUAGUAUUUUCGCUGCGGCACAGCUGAGGUCACUUUAAAUUUAUUGCUAGCAAUUUUUUGUUUGUGUGAGCAACUCUCACUUAACGAGCAACUUCUCGUAAAACAACAGGCAACUUCCUGUGUCUUUCUGCUUUUAAUUUACUGCUUUUAACCCUUGUAUGGUAAUCGGGUCUGUGAGACCCGUUUUCAGUUUUCUUUCGUUUUUUUUUUUUUAACAAAAUUAAAUUUAAUUAUUUACUAGCUUUCUGUGAGUGAGCAACUUCUCACUUUUUAACGUACGUUUCAAGAUAACAGGCAACUUCCUGUGUCCACCAACACCACACAAGGGUUAAUUUACUUUAUUCGGGGACUGAGGAAGUCAGUCAGUGUAUCUCUCUGGAUCACUAAGUGAAACUUCGUCAGCAUAUCCCGUUUUUUUAUGGAUUCGGGGACUGAGGAAGUCAGUCAGUGUAUCUCUCUGGAUCACUAAGUGAAACUUCGUCAGCAUAUCCCGUUUUUUUAUGGAUCGAUCACUGAGAGAGGUAUAAUAGGUCUUUAUAUAAAUAUGAAAGACGCAUAUUUACCUUCUGUCAGUAAUCCCACUUCUGACACCAAGAUUGAAGGAAAUUGCCUUCCCGGGUUUCCUCCGUGGCGUGAGCGAUAAGCAGAGUUUUGUCCUUUCCUUAUAAGACUCCUAAUUAUUCAAAGUAACACUCAGGUAUGCCAUUCAGCGUGUUAGUACGAGCUCGGGAGCAGCUUGGGAGAACAAGAAAACAGAGACUGCUUUAGGUUGCCUUCCCAAUCGACUCAAAGGUUUAUUUGAUACACAGCAGUUUAUAUAGAUGAAAAAAG
Long non-coding RNA from Astatotilapia calliptera (eastern happy), 1826 nucleotides. The record is from Ensembl. Lineage: Eukaryota; Metazoa; Chordata; Actinopteri; Cichliformes; Cichlidae.